This 520-nucleotide ribosomal RNA is filed under the name uncultured Glomus. RNAcentral's name for it is "SSU rRNA". It matches the Rfam family "Eukaryotic small subunit ribosomal RNA", at positions 569 to 1092 of the family's 1831-position model. Lineage: Eukaryota; Fungi; Glomeromycota; Glomeromycetes; Glomerales; Glomeraceae. The record is from RNAcentral.
AGCAGCCGCGGUAAUUCCAGCUCCAAUAGCGUAUAUUAAAGUUGUUGCAGUUAAAAAGCUCGUAGUUGAAUUUCGGGAUCAAUAUGUUGGUCGUGCCUUGGUACGUACUGGCAUUAUCGAUUCCUACCUUCUGAAGAAUCUCGAUGUCAUUAAUUUGGUGUCUUGGGGAAUCAGGACUGUUACUUUGAAAAAAUUAGAGUGUUUAAAGCAGGCUCGCGCUUGAAUACAUUAGCAUGGAAUAAUGAAAUAGGACGUUUGAUUCUAUUUUGUUGGUUUCUAGGAUCGACGUAAUGAUUAAUAGGGAUAGUUGGGGGCAUUAGUAUUCAAUUGUCAGAGGUGAAAUUCUUGGAUUUAUUGAAGACUAACUACUGCGAAAGCAUUUGCCAAGGAUGUUUUCAUUAAUCAAGAACGAAAGUUAGGGGAUCGAAGACGAUCAGAUACCGUCGUAGUCUUAACCAUAAACUAUGCCGACUAGGGAUCGGAUGAUGUUAAUUUUUAAUGACUCAUUCGGCGCCUUAAC